UGCGCAGGCGGGCUUGUAAGUCAGUGGUGAAAUACUGCCGCUUAACGGUAGAACUGCCAUUGAUACUGCAAGUCUUGAAUAUGGUUGAGGUAGGCGGAAUGUGUCGUGUAGCGGUGAAAUGCAUAGAUAAGACACAGAACGCCAAUUGCGAAGGCAGCUUACUAAGCCAUUAUUGACGCUGAGGCACGAAAGCGUGGGGAGCGAACAGGAUUAGAUACCCUGGUAGUCC
Molecule: ribosomal RNA, 229 nt
Filed under: uncultured bacterium
Lineage: Bacteria
Description: partial 16S ribosomal RNA
Rfam family: Bacterial small subunit ribosomal RNA
Source: RNAcentral